RNAcentral lists this ribosomal RNA (460 nucleotides) under uncultured bacterium. RNAcentral's name for it is "partial 16S ribosomal RNA". It matches the Rfam family "Bacterial small subunit ribosomal RNA", at positions 338 to 795 of the family's 1533-position model. The record is from RNAcentral.
CCUACGGGAGGCAGCAGUGAGGAAUAUUGGUCAAUGGACGAGAGUCUGAACCAGCCAAGUCGCGUGAGGGAUUAAGGCCCUGCGGGUCGUAAACCUCUUUUGCCGGGGAGCAGUGGUCCGGACGCGUCCGGACCGGGAGAGUACCCGGAGAAAAAGCAUCGGCUAACUCCGUGCCAGCAGCCGCGGUAAUACGGAGGAUGCGAGCGUUAUCCGGAUUUAUUGGGUUUAAAGGGUGCGUAGGCGGAUUUUUAAGUCAGCGGUAAAAUGUCCGGGCUCAACCCGGGCCGGCCGUUGAAACUGGGGAUCUUGAGUGGGCGAGAAGUAUGCGGAAUGCGUGGGGUAGCGGUGAAAUGCAUAGAUAUCACGCAGAACUCCGAUUGCGAAGGCAGCAUACCGGCGCCCGACUGACGCUGAGGCACGAAAGCGUGGGGAUCGAACAGGAUUAGAUACCCCAGUAGUC